This 459-nucleotide ribosomal RNA is filed under the name uncultured bacterium. RNAcentral's name for it is "SSU rRNA". It matches the Rfam family "Bacterial small subunit ribosomal RNA", at positions 26 to 518 of the family's 1533-position model. The record is from RNAcentral.
AGAAUCAACGCUGGCGGCGUGCCUAACACAUGCAAGUCGAACGAGAAAGUGGAGCAAUCCAUGAGUAAAGUGGCGCACGGGUGAGUAACACGUGACUAACCUACCCUUGAGUGGGGGAUAACCUAGAGAAAUCUGGGCUAAUACCGCAUAAUACCUUCGGGUCAAAGGAGCAAUUCGCUUAAGGAGGGGGUCGCGGCCGAUUAGUUAGUUGGCGGGGUAAUGGCCCACCAAGACUGUGAUCGGUAUCCGGCCUGAGAGGGCGCACGGACACACUGGAACUGAAACACGGUCCAGACUCUUACGGGAGGCAGCAGUGGGGAAUUUGCGCAAUGGGGGAAACCCUGACGCAGCAACGCCGCGUGGAGGAUGAAGCCCCUUGGGGCGUAAACUCCUUUCGAUCGGGAAGAUAAUGACGGUACCGAGAGAAGAAGCCCCGGCUAACUUCGUGCCAGCAGCCGC